This 1173-nucleotide long non-coding RNA is filed under the name Salmo salar (Atlantic salmon). Its description in RNAcentral is "lncRNA (ENSSSAG00000117470.1)". The record is from RNAcentral. Lineage: Eukaryota; Metazoa; Chordata; Actinopteri; Salmoniformes; Salmonidae.
GUUUUCCAUUGUGUGCCCUUAUGAACAGGAGCCAGGUCUGUAAGCCUAGCUAAGUCAAGGACCAGGGUUAAGGGUGCAUCAAGGAUUGGUCAGGCUCAGAGGUCAAGCCUGACAGAUUUCAUGCUUUAAUUUGGACUGUCAUGCUCUAGAUUACCACUGGAGAUGGAGAACUCUGAGUCAACCCAAAAAGGCUUUUUCUGUCCACAAGCUCUGAUGAGCAACAGCCCUCCAGCUCUGCUAUAGCUGAAGGCUAUCUGAACCAACAGAACUACACAAAGACCUGAGCCCUAGGACCAUGCCUCAGGACUACCUGGCAUGAUGACUCCUUGCUGUCCCCAGUCCACCUGGCCGUGCUGCUGCUCCAGUUUCAAUUGUUCUGCCUGCGGCUAUGUAACCCGGACCUGUUCACCGGACGUGCUACCUGUCCCAGACCUGCUGUUUUCAACUCUCUAAAGACAGAAGUAGCGGUAGAGAUACUCUGAAUGAUCGGCUAUGAAAAGCCAACUGACAUUUACUCUUGAGGUGCUGACUUGUUGCACCCUCGACAACUACUGUGAUUAUUAUUAUUUGACCAUGCUGGUCAUUUAUGAACAUUUGAACAUCUUGGCCAUGUUCUGUUAUAAUCUCCACCCGGCACAGCCAGAAGAGGACUGGCCACCCCUCAUAGCCUGGUUCCUCUCUAGGUUUCUUCCUAGGUUUUGGCCUUUCUAGGGAGUUUUUCCUAGCCACCGUGCUUCUACACCUGCAUUGCUUUCUGUUUGGGGUUUUAGGCUGGGUUUCUGUACAGCACUUUGAGAUAUCAGCUGAUGUAAGAAGGGCUAUAUAAAUACAUUUGAUUUGAUUCCUGGUUCUUUAUAAAAUGGCUGCUGUCAAAAUUAGCAGUGAAGAAGUGUGUGUAAUUAUGAAUGAUCAUUUUUCUGAGUGUGAUAUUCAAAUGUUUUCUAGUAAGUGAAUGUCUCAGGAAUAGUUAAGUCGUCAAGACUGUGUAAUAAUGUUUUCACAUUAAAUAAUAACUAUCAAGAAAUGUCCUCUGUAGUGGACACCCGGAUGCCGUAACAAUUUUUUUCACUUACUGUACCCAUUGACUAAUGUAUUUUUUUUCUUUCACAUUUUCGUCCUAAUGACCACUACAGAGGAAAAUGGUGCACUUUUAAUAAAAGAUAAAUAACAAUA